GAUGCUCCGUGGGAAAUACAUUUGAUCAAUUGAAGAUCUACUGAACCUUUGUUAAUUCGAUUGAAAUUUGGGUAUUGUGGCUCGAGCCACGAUUAAGAUCGAUUUGAUAUUCGUUAGCCUAAGAAAGGACUGGCUGUCUUACUACGUUAAGAUUUUUAGUAUUUGAAUUAAAACUCUGUGACAUUUGCAAUUGAGAUGCUAUGCUCUCUACUAGGGGGAAAACGUCCGGCAGAGAAAAAAACCCGGAGAACUAUUCCCCGAUGUGCGCGUCUAAGAAGUUUGGUAAAAUGAUUCCGUGAGACGUACGUGCGCAAUAUUGAAGGCUAACCGGCAUGAAUAACUCACGUCUUCUUUUUGAACCUUGAAAGACGUCUUAAAAGCUUCGCUUUGUGGACGAGACUUAACAAAGCCGAAGCAGCUGUUCAUUUUUUACUUACUCGACGGAGAUGUCACCAUCAAUAAUGCCUUUGAGUGACUUUUCUGGUUGCAUCUGAUGCGUGACAGAGACUAUUGUUGUUAUUUUAAAUUAUGUUAAUCCUGAUGCUGUAUUUUUUAUUACCACGAAAAGUUUUAUAAUGAGAUUAACGUUAUUUCCCUUUGAAGUCAUGAAUAGAAAUGUUCACUAUUGCAAUACUAGUUGUGACGUGAAUAAAGGGGUAAGUAAGGGUAAGUAAAGAAACUGUGAUGCUGCGUCGGUGGGAGAGUAUAGCUGAUAAUUAGUGUUAACAACUGAGUUGAAAAUGUAAAUUGGCCACCGUGAAGGGUAAAAAAGCUGACGUGUGACGUGAACUUGUCUUUCGACGAAUUUCGAAAACCCGCGCAAAUUCCUCAAUGUGUCGAAGAAACUGAAGUCAUUGCUAAGUUGAAGGCGUGGAACUAUAUCUUUUUAAGGCUAACUACAUUGUAAAUCUUCGUCAUCACGUCAGAAUGUAAAUACUAGUGGGAGCUGGGAGAGAGCUUGCCUCUCACCUCUGUGGCCUCGGUUCGAUUCCCGAACUUGAGGACGUUUCUCGAAGGUUCCCGUAGAGCUAUUCUGUUUUCCUUGAAGAUGAUAAUAAAACUAUAAGCUAAAGAAAGGAAAUGGACUGAUUAGGGUGCCAGAACCUGCCUUUCUAAUCUUUGAAUUUUGAUUUCAAAAUAUGGCUUCGGGCCUGAUAAGCUACCGUGACUUUUGAGAAACGGGCCACUGGCGUCACCUGUGGGGUUUGUUGUUGGUUCUCUUUCUCGAUUCUCGCUCCGAGGGUCUCUCCCCAGGUCCUCUGGUUUUCCUCCCUCCAUAAUCAGAACCAAUAUUCCAAAUUUAAAAUCGACCUGGAGACAGUGGACAGUGCUAAAUUUCAAUGAUUAUCAUUAUAAUUAUUAUUGUUACAAGAGAGAACCUAUUAUUUCGGCAUGAAAGUUGAAUUUACUAUCAUUAUUUAUAUUAUCAUAAUUAUCAGAUUAUCAUGGUUAUAAUUAUUACGAUUAUCUUUAU
Long non-coding RNA from Pocillopora damicornis (cauliflower coral), 1474 nucleotides. RefSeq lists it as uncharacterized. The record is from RefSeq and is a predicted model, not a curated record. NCBI's taxonomy places the organism in Eukaryota, Metazoa, Cnidaria, Anthozoa, Scleractinia, Pocilloporidae.